GGGGUUGUAGCUCAGUGGUAGAGCACUUGCCUUACAUGUGUGAGGCCCUGGGUUCUAUCCUCAGCAACACAU
Non-coding RNA from Ictidomys tridecemlineatus (thirteen-lined ground squirrel), 72 nucleotides. Lineage: Eukaryota; Metazoa; Chordata; Mammalia; Rodentia; Sciuridae. The record is from Rfam.